CGAGACGGGGCGGGAGGGGCCAGACUGUCUCGGCUGUCACACCUGUCCUGAGGAAAGCCCUGUGGAAGGAGCUCAGUGCUGGGAUUCAGGACCCUGAGGCCACUGUGAAACUGCAAAUUCUUUCCAAGCUGUUGCCACCUCCGGGAAGCAAAGGGCUGCACAACCUGAUGGACUGCCUUCCUGCUGCUCCGGAGAGAGCAGGCAAUGAAGAGAGUGUGUGGUUGAAGAAGUGGACCCAGAUGACUGGUGUGACCUUGUGAAGACAGGGCUCAAGUACCGUUACAGAGAUGAAACAUUUCUGAAGGUCCUGAACGUUGCCAUCCAGUUACUAUACAUGAAAGAAUCCUCACUUAGAGCGUAGUCAAGCUCUCCAAACUACACAUGGGGGUCACACAGCACUCUCUAUUUUUGGCAGCCAUCCUGAGGUCAAGAGAAGAAGAUGGCAUGAGCGUCCAGACAAGAGGAUGGCUCUCUGUGGUCUCAGACAGUGUUCCCUGGGAGGAAGGGCAGCCUUUGCCUCGCCUGCACAGCUCAGGUGGAUGUGACAGAACUGGUGUGGCCUGACAAGGCAUGAGCAGCUGUCUGUGCACUGGAGUGCCUUGAAACCUUUCUCUGUGAGGUUUUGGACACGUUUCUCUUUGGGAUUUCUUGUGACACAGCACCAGUCAUUGAGCUCCUCCCAUCUUUGCCAGAAGCUUCGGUGUUUAAGCAGCCAGAGCCAAGAGGCUUCAGCACCAGGGGUGUGCGCUGGAGGGCUCCUGGUCCUGCCCACGCUGUGGGGGAGCCAGGGCUGGCACAAGGACUCAUGAAGGUGCUGCUCUGGCACUGGAGCUGUUGCCCUGUGGAGCCAUUUUAAAGGUCUGAUAAUGGAACAUUUUGGAGGCCGUUUCUGGAAUUCCAUUUGUAGCUGGAUCUCGCUCCAAGUGCAGCAGUCCAGGUGAGGGUUCUGACCUCUCCAGACUUGUGCUCACCUUGGUACAGCCUGGGGCUGGAGCAGUUUUCCAGGGAAGUGGAGAUGGCUGAGGAUGGGUGCUCUGGAAAGCAGGGACCUGCUGGGAUUUGCAUUUGCAAAGCUGCCGUGAAGUUUGUAAAACCAGCAGGAAAUUCUAAUUCCUGUGGUUUUUGGGGAGGAGGUGCAGGUCACCCUGAGAGCUAGAUCAGAACUGGUUUGUGGUAAGGAGUCUGAGGUGUGUAAGUGCCACAGCUGGUAUGAGCUGUGUGCUAAAUGCAGUCCCAGCCCCAGAGGGAGGCUGAUGGGCUCUGCUCAUUGCUGUCCCCAGCUGUCCCCAGCCCGCUGCUCCCCCGUGGAUCUGCUCUGGAUUCGGGCUGUCGGUGCUGGAGCGCCCUGCUCCCUGCAGGGCCCUGCCCCUAACCCACGCAGAGAGAGCCCUGCUGGCCAGAGUGAUCUUUUUUAUUCCUUUAUCCCUGUGCUGUUAGCAAGGAAGGGAUGGGACUGCUCUUGGCCGGGAGCACUCAGUGCUCAGGUAAACACCCGCCUCGGAGCGUGAGGGUUUGCAGAGCGAGCAGCUGCUGCGGCUCAGGAGCAGCCACAAGUUCUUUGUUCCAAGGCAGGCCAGAACUUUCUAACCCCGGGGUUUAUUUGGCUUUUCGAACCCAGCACCUCUGCUCAGUUCUGCCGCACUGAGGGUACUUUUGUUCAAUGCCUUCUGUUGGAACUUGUCAGCUCUCAGUGUAGCGCACACAGCCCCAGCCCUGCCCUGCAAACCCUUCCCCAUCGUGCCCACACAGUUUCUCUCUCACUCACUCGGGGCAGGCUCUUACUGACAGCCACAGAAACAGAAGUUAUUUUAUUUUAUUUUAUUCUUUUCCUGCGUAAUGCCCGUGUCUUGUAUUGGUACAUCAAUCCCAGCUUCUCCCGAGGCUGCAGAUCAAAUCUUUCAGUGUCUGUGGGAGUUUCUGGUUUUCCCAUUCCCAUGUCUUCCCCCUCUCUCUGUAUGAAAAAAAAAAUUAUUAGUGGAUUUGUUAAGCAUUUGUUGCAUAUAUUAACAUAAAUAAGGUGUUAUCAUUAGUAUUAUUAUUGUAAUAAUAUAAUUAAAAUGUAUACUUUUGUUACAAGAUUUUUUAAUUAUGGUGUUAAAUUUUAUUUAUUGUUAUGUUUUAUUAGUUAUUCUUAUUUUUGAUAUUUCUUAAAGUUGUACACUUUAAUAAGUAGAUUUGGUGUUUUAGAUAAAUGUAUACAUUUUAUUAAAUUUUUAUAUUUAUAUUUGUAUGUUAAUAAAAUAAAUUUUUUUGUUGGUUUUUUGUAAAACUGCGUAUUUAAUAGUUUUAUAUUUGUUUAAAAAGUUAUUUAGGGUAAGGGAUGUCGAAUUAGAUUGUUUAUUUAGAAAAUAUUUUAAUUGAUUUAAUUGUUUUAGUGUUGUUGAAGUAAUAGGUGGUAUAAAAACUGAUGCUACCAUUUUGAUUUUAAGUUUCAAGGCUUAAAAUUACUUUUAUAUUUUGAUUACUAUUGAUGGAUAAAUGACUUUUUUGUUUUAAAUUGGUAGCUAUUUUAAUAUUAAGAGUUAAUAAUGUAAGGGCUUUUUAAUUAUAUGGACUAUUUGUAAUGGUUUUUAUUGGUAUCUUAAGUAAGUAAGUAAAGAAUGGAUUUUUUUGAGUAGUGCUAGAUAAAUACAAAGUAUUUAAACUUGAAACUUUAGUUAAAGUUACUUAAAUGUUUGUUUUAGGUUGGUUAAUUGGUAAAGUGACAUAAUUAAAAGUAAAUAAAGUAAAUAGAGUAGAAGUAAAAUAUUUGAUAGAAUUUCAUAAUUUGUAAGUUACUAAAUAAGAUUUUUAUAACAUUGAUUUUUAUAUUUAUAAAGAAACUUCAAGUUUCUAUAUUUUGGUGGGUGUAGUACAAGAUGUUAGGUGUAAGUUGCAAUUCUUGUGUAAUCUGCGUUUGUAUUUCCAUAGUGUAAUUUGUCUUUGUAUUUACAUUGGUGUUUUAUUUGUGGAGUGGUGAGUGUGUUUUUUGUGUGAUCUGAUUUUAUGUUUCUCAUUGAAAUUUACUUGGGGUUAUGUACUUGUUGAGAUAUAAGUAAACUUUAUGUUUUGAUAUGAGAAAUAAUAAGUUGUUAUAAUUUUUCAGUUAUAAGUAUGAAGAAAUGCAAGAGUAAAAUAAUGUAUGUAGUAAAGAAGAAAUUGAUAAUAAUUAGGAAUUACUUAGAUAAUAUCUAUAAUUAGUAACAUAGGUGAAAUUAUAUAAUUAGUAAGUAUUAAAAGAUUGUACAUACUUUUAGCAUUUAUAACAGUUGAUAAAUGUUAAAUUAGUGGUAAGUUAAAUCAUUAUGUGUGGAUAAUGAUUUUUUAAGUUUAUUUUAAAAAUAAGUUUAUUUGUUAUAUUGUUAAAUUGUUAAGUUAAAAUUAUUUGAAUUUAUUUUUGAUGUAGAAAAUAUUUGGGUUUGUUGUUAAUUAUUUUAUUUAGGUAGAGUUAGGGUUAGGUUAUAGUUUAAAUUUUAAUUGGUGAAUGUUAUUUAAUAUAUUUUUAUAUAAUGUUUUUAAAAAUAGUAGUUAAGAGUAAAAAUGUUAGGAUUAAAGAUUAAUUACAUUAUUUAAUAAUUGGAUUUUUUUAGAAGUUUUUUAGAAUAGAGAUGCUUUGAAUAUAGUAAACUUCUUUUUAAAGAUUUGAAAGUGGUUAUGGACAGGAUUGUGAGUUUGGAUUUGGAUAUUGAGAGUGUGAAGGUGGAGGAAAUGUAUGAGAGAGUGAUUACUUAGUGUGAAACUUAGAAAAAGAAAUUAAUGUUGUAGUUGGAUUUUGUAUUCAAGUGAUUUUGUAAUAAUAACUGAGGAAAGUGAUAAGAUUAACAGUUUGGAGGAGGUUUUUAAUGAAAUACCUUUUUAAUCUUGAAAAAUAUUAAAAAUUAUGAGAUAACAUUAAGUUAAAUUAUAGAGUUAGUGUAGAGAUUAGUUAGAGAAUUAACUUGGUUUAAGCGCUGUAUAAGUUGAGAAUAAAAAAGUAGAGAUUAGAAAUUUUAUGUGGUUUUUAGAUCAUUAUAUAAAGAGAUAAUAAAGUAUAUGAAAGUUGGUUGUAAAUAUUAUAACAAUAUUUAAUAAAUAUUUAUUAUUAUAAAAAUUAAUAUAUUGAUAUAAUAUAAUUAGUAUAUUAGUGGUAAGUGUUUGAAGAAGUUAGGAUAACUUUUAAAAAAUAUUUAUAUAUUAAGGAAAUAGAGUAAAAUUUUUAAACAGCAUGAUAUGAAUAGUAAUUGCUAUUUUUUGGUGUUACUUAUAAAAGAUAAGAGUAGAAAUUGUAAUGAAGUACAGAAUUUUUGAUGAAAUUGAUGAUAUAAUACACUGUACUUUUUUUUACUUCUGAAUAGGUGUUUGUCAGUGUUUUCUUUUAGUUGUUUUAAUUGGAGGUGUUUUAUUUUUUAAGAAAAUUAACCAUAUACUGUAUAGUUUAGAGAAAUGAUUUUUUUAAUAAAAUUUAGCAUAAGUUAUAUUAAAUAACAUUUAAAUUUAGACUGAAUGAAUUUUGAUAGUAAGGAAUAAUAAACUAAAUUUUAAUUGAUAAAAAGAAAAUGUAUUUGUUUAAAUGUAUUGACACUUAAUUUUGUUUGAUUUUAUUAAUACUUAACAUAUU
This 4576-nucleotide long non-coding RNA is filed under the name Taeniopygia guttata (zebra finch). RNAcentral's name for it is "lncRNA (ENSTGUG00000019047.1)". Lineage: Eukaryota; Metazoa; Chordata; Aves; Passeriformes; Estrildidae. The record is from RNAcentral.